AGAAAAUCCAGGCCCUCAGCCAUACUUUUAUUCAGUGUAGCACGGGACCAUAAAUAUUUUCUAAAGAAAAACCUGACCAUAUCUAGAGGACAACAGGAUUUAAUGAGGACUGAACCGAGUGCUACUUCAAAUUUAGCACCUUCUCCAAAGAGCCAUUCUGCUAGGACGCACCCAUCCCCUAAGCAAGCAGGGGAGCCAGUAUUGUGACCCACACAAUCACAGUUCCACCUUCCCCAGUCCAUGGAAGUCUCCUUGGGGAGAGUGAGCACAGCCUGCUCAUCUUUGAACCCACCCCAGCGCCUAGCACAGUGCCAAGUCAGCCAGUCUGUUAACCAGCUGAUGGCCGUUCUGAAGUCGGGGUCUGAAUGGUUUGGAAGAGUGGCAGCAAGACUCUCCCAGGAAGGCUGUGAGAACGCCCCCACAGCAUUGUCCCGGCUUUGCUCCUAAAAACCAGAAGUCCUAGCUGGGAGGCAAUGUCCUAGACAAAUACUGAGAGAAGGGAGCUUUCCUUGAAGAUGGAGCAAGUAUUUGCCAGACACUGGGAAGGAGAAAGUGAUGUGGCUACGGAUGCCAGUAAGUUCUCACACAGGGGCCCAGCAGUCUGCUUCCUGGUAGAUCCAGCACCAGAGAAGAGAUGGAAGGUUUGUGAGACUAGGAAGCUCACUACUGUGACCGCACAGUAUUAGCGAGGACACCAUAGUAGCAACCUGCAUGGACUGAUCACUAUAAUACCUACUACCAAGCCUCACACAUUGUCUUUCCAACAAAGUGGGAGGAACAGUUGAAGUUCUGACUUGUACUAAAAAUGUAUGUAUGUUUGUUUAUUUGUUAAGGAACUUUUGAACACAGAGCUGAAUUUCCCUAAGUUAAAUAUGAAGCAAUUGCUCCUGCUUCCCAGAGUUGAGAAGAGGGUGGGCAAACAAUCAUGUCAUGGCUUAUGGGCACUAUGUGAAGGACAGUUCAGCAAAUCUUACAAUUAUUAGAGUUAUGGACCAUUGGACCUUGUAACUCUACUGCUAUAUCAAGUUAUGAUGGAGUUACAUCUUGA
Long non-coding RNA from Chinchilla lanigera (long-tailed chinchilla), 1048 nucleotides. RefSeq lists it as uncharacterized. The record is from RefSeq and is a predicted model, not a curated record. Lineage: Eukaryota; Metazoa; Chordata; Mammalia; Rodentia; Chinchillidae. The transcript has 3 exons.